Molecule: long non-coding RNA, 679 nt
Filed under: Gallus gallus (chicken)
Lineage: Eukaryota; Metazoa; Chordata; Aves; Galliformes; Phasianidae
Description: long non-coding RNA NONGGAT003566
Source: RNAcentral
AAUGUUAAAAAGGAAGAGGAAAGAAGCUGUUUGCAGAGGUGCAUCCACUCUCUUCCACUCUUGCUAUGCUCGGUGAUCAAAUGGGAGCGGUCUUUCUCAUGUUUCUGCUCCUCAUUUGCCUCCUGCAUGUAAGAUUAUAACAACAUCUGCUCCGAACCUCUGUAGGCAUCUACACAAAGUAUUCCCGUGAGUACAUUUCAGUUCUGUCCUGCAAGGUCACCCUUCCAUCCUUUGUGAGGCAUCUGCUUUUCCAACCCACUCCGCUUUCUCCAGGCAACGUUCUCCCGACGCCUGCCUCCCUCAGUGGGUUGAUGUUCUGUUUAAUUAGUUUGGCCUCUCGCACCCGGCCGGGGGAAGUUUGAUUAGAGACUCAGACAACACUUCUGUUCCUUCAGCCUCCGGUCCUCCCAGAGCACACACCCGAUGGAAGGAGAAAAAAAUGCCCUUUCCUACAACUCCAGCCAGCCCGUCCUGCUUGGACCAUCCACGCUGUUCUGCCACCCUUGGAAUUCUCCCAUCGUAGGUGGUGUGUUGUCUGCCUGGGAGCUCCUGCAGCCCUGCCUGCGUGGAGGAACAAGGAUGUGAUAAUACCGGGCCCUGGAGCUGCAAAUGCAGAACGAACCAAGGAGUAAAAGAAUUGACAAGACAAGCAGUGGUGGGAAAUGGAGGGAAGACUGUG